Meleagris gallopavo (turkey) is the source of this 2542-nucleotide long non-coding RNA. The record is from Ensembl. NCBI's taxonomy places the organism in Eukaryota, Metazoa, Chordata, Aves, Galliformes, Phasianidae.
AUGAUUCUGAACUAUUUAUUGCUGGAAUUAGAGGUUAAGUACCUAAUUUCCAUUUUCUUUCUAGAUGUAUACCUCAUUAACUUUUACAGAAGAGGAGAUACUGAGCUGGACUGGCCCAUUGGUGCAAGCAGCAUGCUGAUAUUUCAGUAUUCCUUCGGCUCAACAGUUCAGAGUACAGUCACAGCAAGAAAAGCAACCCAUGUAACCAUGAGUAGCCUGAGAUUCAUUUCACUGGAUUUCCCAAGAAUUAUAUUUUAAUUUGAAAGGUAAGCCAUGGGUGUUACUUUGCAGGCAUUUUGAAAAGAGAAGGUUACGGUUUCAGGUAAAAAAUAAAAAAAUAAAAAAAAAUGGUAUUUGUAUGAUAAUGAACAGACUGGAAAAUGACAUAAAUACACUUUACAUUUUAAUAGUAAUUACAGGAGACAGUGCAUGCAGUCCUAUUAUGCAAGACAAUGUUUUACUUUAUCUAGUGCUGGACUUUAAUUAGAAUGCAAUGGCUAAAUGUCAGUCCUAAUUUAUUCUCAUAAUUUGUGUGUUCAUUUCUGACAAACAGGAAUAAUCAUGUAUAAAGAAGCACUCAUUGAAACGUGACAGUUUAAAGUUGUGCAACCGUAAUUAAAAGCAAGAAAAAAGGUGUAUGAAUUGAAAUAGACUGCAGUUCAUUUCAGUAACAUGUUGGGGUACUAUCAUCAUGGGCACAUCAGAAAUAACAGUCAUGAUAGUUCAUCUCCUAUGCUCCUUUUUAAUACAACUUCCGUUGCACAUUAAUAAAUCAUGAAAAUUUAUGUUUGUCCUCUGAAAGUUUUUACCUGGAAAUGAUAUGCUAUGAAUACAAUAUUUGUGCUCAUAGAGGACUAUGACUGUUUAAGCAUUUAUGAGUAAAGUAGAUGGUGAUUACAUCUUUCAAAUAAAAGGUGUUGGUAAUUUAAGAUAGCAAAACCCAUAGAACUCAAGUAGAAAUUUACUUCCUGGGGAGAACAGGGAGUAUAUUUUGUGUUUUAGUUUAUUAAAUUUGUUUUUAGACUCCCCAGGGGAAAAUUAGACCAGUGGAUUUCCAGAAUUAUUGAACAAUUACUCAAAAUUAAAAAAUAAAAAAGGAUAUUGUCAAGCAUUGAACUUUUCCAGUUCCUAACACACCAGGUGUAAUGUUAGCCCAUGUAAACCCUUCUAGCUUCACGUACUUGUUUUUUUUCACCAAGACAUUUUUUUCACCAAGAAAACAAAAGUACAAGUCCUGCUACACUCAGAAAUCUGUCUCAGCCAACAUUAAGUCAAUAGUGCUGGACUUCAGUUGCAACAACUUGCAAACUGGAGAAUUAAUAACUAGACUUAAGUUGCCACUGUUCACUAACGAGGCUGGAACGUGACCCGCACACCUAACCAGCCAUGAAUAGAAAAGAAAAAGCAUGAGGCUCAUUUACUACAACUGUCUAACUAAUACAUUUUCUUGAGCACUAAUCCAAAAAAGGAUCAGUGCUGGUGCUGCGGCAGUAUAUCAACUUUCUGCAAGUGUAAGCAUCAGAGUGAACCAAGAGACAGUUUAUUCCAGAGCUGCUUAAAAUUUGUUUUCCUUUUGCUAUAAACUUUUCUAAUGUCUUACUCUGGGACUGGCUGAUAAACCCACAUUAAUCCCCUUGGGGCACUGUAUUUUGUGUAGUUGUAUGAGAUGAGACCAAGGCUUUGUCAGUAUAUUUUAUAUUCUCUUCUUGCAUAUUUUUUGCAUUCCUUUUUCUCUUAAAUCAUUGUUUUGCCAGGAAGAAUUGUGUAUAGCAUAGCUAUCAACAGUAGAAAAUUCUGUGUUGCAGCACAGAUGAAAUGCAGAUAAAAGAGUAGGUGGAACCCAACUCCUUUAAAUACGCUCUUCCAAUCUGGGUAAAAGAGAUGUGCUGUAGAGUGUAAAGCCAAGCUCCUACAAAGUUGUCCCUUGAUCUUUUACUCAUCUAGAAAUAAGAUUAUCUGCCUUGAGUUUCACAGUGUAUAUAACCCCAGCCUAUCUGACUUGGGUGCAAAAGCGUUAAGGAAAAGGCCAAAGAGGAUCCUUGACUGUGACUGUAGCUGUUUAGUUGGCAGUAAGGAUGUAAGUUAAGCUAUGAAAUAAUAAUUUUUUUUUUUUCAAGCACAAACCCUCAUUCCCAUAUGGAUAGACAGAUGUUUCUGAGAAGCAAGCAUAGUAUGGUUGUCUUAUGGUAGCUUAUGCUACCCGAAGUUGGAGUAACAUAUCGUGGUGAAAAAUAUCAAAAAUAUCAAAAAUAUCAAAAUAUCAUAUCAGUAAAUCAUGAGUAACUGUAGUGCAGUUGUUCACAGCUGAGCUGGGAUAAUAGCUCAUUGCUGAUCAUCUGAUUCUCUCUGAGAGAAUGAAUUUGCAACCUAAAGAAAUUACAUACUAUAUGUGAAGACACUUGCAUACUCCAGGCAACGGGCCAUCUUGCAGAAUAAAGCUUUAUCUGUGAGUGCUGCUUCAGGACUGAUAGGUUGUUCUUGGCUCCAGCACAGUGCUGAACACAUGAGUUUUGUGAAGGUAUCCUGGAAACUGAUUCUGACA